AAAUUUUAAUGUAAACUUAAAUGUUAAUCUGCAGAGGUACAGCUCUACAGAAUAAGAUUACAACCUUAAUUAGCGAGUAACUUUAUUUUACAACCAUAGUUGGCCUAAAAGCAGCCACCAAUUAAGAAAGCGUUCAAGCUCAACAAUUAAACUAAUAUCUUAAUUCAAAAAAUAACACUAACUCCUAACUUAAAUACUGGAUUAUUCUACUUAUCCGUAGAAGUAAUACUGUUAAUAUGAGUAACAAGAUUCUAUAUCUCCAUACACACGUGUAUAUCAGCCCGAAUCCCAACUGAUAGUUAACAAUCAGAUAAACCCAUAUAUUUAAUUAAUAAUUUACUACCACAUUGUUAACCCAACACCGGAGUGUAAUUAUGGAAAGAUCAAAAAAAGUAAAAGGAACUCGGCAAACCUAAACCCCGCCUGUUUACCAAAAACAUCACCUCUAGCAUCACCAGUAUUAGAGGCACUGCCUGCCCAGUGACAUUAGUUUAACGGCCGCGGUAUCCUGACCGUGCAAAGGUAGCAUAAUCAUUUGUUCCUUAAUUAGGGACUUGUAUGAAUGGCCCCACGAGGGUUUAACUGUCUCUUACUUUUAAUCAGUGAAAUUGACCUCCCCGUGAAGAGGCGGGGAUAAAAAAAUAAGACGAGAAGACCCUAUGGAGCUUAAAUUAAGGUGUCCAACAAAAUUUUAAUUUCACCCAAUAGGAAUAAUUAUAUUUUAACUGGACAACAAAUUUUGGUUGGGGUGACCUCGGAGUAUAACAAAACCUCCAAGUGAUUUUAAUCAAGACUAACCCGUCAAGGUGAUAUAUUUAUUGAUCCAAUCAUAUUGAUCAACGGAACAAGUUACCCUAGGGAUAACAGCGCAAUCCUAUUUGAGAGUUCAUAUCGACAAUAGGGUUUACGACCUCGAUGUUGGAUCAGGACACCCAAAUGGUGCAGCAGCUAUUAAAGGUUCGUUU
Molecule: ribosomal RNA, 965 nt
Filed under: Crocidura suaveolens suaveolens
Lineage: Eukaryota; Metazoa; Chordata; Mammalia; Eulipotyphla; Soricidae
Description: partial 16S ribosomal RNA
Rfam family: Bacterial large subunit ribosomal RNA
Source: RNAcentral